RNAcentral lists this unclassified non-coding RNA (1619 nucleotides) under Eurytemora carolleeae. RNAcentral's name for it is "60 kDa neurofilament protein". Lineage: Eukaryota; Metazoa; Arthropoda; Copepoda; Calanoida; Temoridae. The record is from RNAcentral.
AAUGGCUUAUAUUAAUCACACUUAUGUUUCAGAGCACUGGCAAUUUUGCUUGAAAAUGGCAGAAAGAAAUGCAGCAAAGACAAAAGAUAACUCAAAGCUGAAAGCAAAAAUCAGAAAACUUGAACUGGAGAAUCGGGAGUUGGAGAAGGAGCGUGAUGAAGAGUCUAAUAAAUCCAGGUCUUACUCUGAAUUCCUGGAAGGUAUUGUGGUGCAGAUUAAUCAUAAAAGGAAACGGAUGGGGACCAGAACCAGUGGUGGAGUUGAACCUCUGGAGAAAAAGAUUAAACAAGAAUUCUUCCCAGAGGAGUAUGUUGAAGAUAUGAAGGAUGAGGAUAUAAAAAGAGAAAGUGGAAACAUAUUGGACGAAUCUGAACACUUAGUAAAUGUUCUAAUACCAGAUGCCAUUGCUGAUGAUGAAAACAAUCCAAGAAUCCAAGAACAAUCUGAAGAACAAGACUCCAAUGAAAAACUGAAAACUAUGGAAAAGAUCACAGAGCUGAAACUAGAAAACUCUGUUAUCUCAGAAAGCAAUAAGAGACUAUUGAAGGAAAAGGAUGAACAAACAGCAUUUGUUGAUUCCAUCAAGAAUAAGCUUAAAGAAUUCUCAUCAAAUCUACCAAUUCCUACAGCUGAGGAGGGGAGUUCAGGAGGAGCAGGAGAUGAUGGUGUUAUCACCCAGCUCACCAACUUGAUCAACCAGAACCAGGACUUGAAGCAGAAUGUAAGGGACUUAACACAGUUAGUUCAGGGCUUGGAGAAAGAUAAACUGAAAUAUUCAAACGAGAUUGCAAAACUAAAUGAUGAGCUAGCGGCCACCAAGAAGGAUAUUGACGAAAUAAACAACAAAUAUGAAGAAUUAAAUUUGAAGAACAAAAAUGAAGAGCUAAGGAGCAGUCAAUUAAAUAAACUUCUCAAUUCUAAUACAGAAAAAAAUAUCUCCUUAGGUAAAACUAAAGAAAUGCUUGAAAGUAGGAGAGACAGUCUCAAGCUUGUCCUAGCUACCACAAAAAAGAAUGUUGAGAAAUUAAAUGAAGAUGAAACAAUUGAAAAUUUGACAAAGGAAGAAGAAAGCCUGCAGAAUUUGAAGGGAAACAGUUGUGAAGACAUAUUAGCUGAAAUUGAUAAAGGUUUAAAUGAACACAGGACAUCAUGUAAUCUUCAAAAACAAAAACUAAGAAAUGCUGAAAAUGAAUUAUGGUGUUUAAGAGAAUCAAAUAAUAUGCUGAAAAAUGAAAUAUCCAGAAUGGAGGAGGAAAAUGAAGAGAAUGAAGAUGAUUACGAAGAUGAGUAUGAUCUCACCAUAGAAAAUCUGAAAAGAAGUAAUAGUGACCUGAUAAAUCAACUGAAUAAUUUUGCAAACUUUUGUGCUCAAAAAGAUGCUGAAAUCAAGGACCUACGUACCAGAUUGAAAAACUUUAAACGAAAAUACUUCAGAAGAUUUCAGCCCCAUUGGACCAACUGACUGUUCUUUUCAACCCUGUUCACCCAGAUUUACUUGGAUUGAAGUUUUAGUCUGCAAAGAAGGAGAAAACUUGCAAAUGGUUGGUCUUCACAACUUUGCUAAAAAAUGGCAGAAAAUAUUCUCAGUAUUGAAAGGCGUGAAUUAAAGUUGGAAUCAA